Long non-coding RNA from Pomacea canaliculata, 2770 nucleotides. RefSeq lists it as uncharacterized. NCBI's taxonomy places the organism in Eukaryota, Metazoa, Mollusca, Gastropoda, Architaenioglossa, Ampullariidae. The transcript has 3 exons. The record is from RefSeq and is a predicted model, not a curated record.
UGAACCUGUUGAGGUGAGUGUGAAUCUGUUGAUUUUUCCGUGAGUGUGUAUUUCUGAUGAGUGUGAUAUAUUUGUGUAUACUUCAUGAACAUGGUUUGAAAUAGUUGAGAGUGAAUUUACAUUUAUCUAAAGAAUGAUUUUGUUUUUGCUCUCCAGGUUUUCUUGUGGAUUUACUUUUGGAUUUACUUUUGGAUUUUCUUGUAGAUUUUCUUGUGGAUUUUCUUUGGGAUAUAACUUCAAGAAGAAGUGAUAUAACUUCAAGAAGAAGUGGAAACUGUGUGUACUUUUCAUGUGGAUAUAUGGUGUAUGUUAGAAGCGGAAACAUUGUGCUGUUCAAGUGAGACUUUGAGAGGAACUGUGCAAGAAGAGUGAAUACUUUUGAAAUUGUUGGAAGAAACGCGUGUUCGAACUGUGGGGUUGGGGUAUUAGGAAUUGUUUUGUGUUGUGUUUCUCAUUUUGAUUUUUAAAUUAUAUUAUAUUUUUUCAAUUUAAAUUGUUGUCGGAGUGGUGGAGGUAUAUCCAUCUAGGAAUGAAAUAUGUGCAGAUGGCAAAAAAAGGCCACUUUGAGGCAGAAAGUAAAUGUGCAUCAGAUGAUGUACAUAAUGGUGAUGAAAACACCAUAACUAGGAGUGUGUUCCAAUAGUGGAAAAGGCAAAGAAAAGAAAAGGAAAUCAAAAUCUGAAGUAAAUAUUCUGUCUGAGAAUAAAUCACAUUUUAAAUAUCAAGAAUCUUGUACAAAUCAAAUUUCUCAGCAUGAUGAGUUGUGUUUGACUGAGAAUAAUGAAGAGAUACAGAGUCUACAAAUGUAAGGACUGCCCCAUGUCUUACAAAAGUAAUCGAUCACUUGGGCGCCACAGAAGGGAACAACAUAAUAUUGGAGGUACAGUUAGAGAACAUGUGUGUCAUCUUUGUAAUAAGUCCUUUACUCGUCAGGCAAGUUUGCAAAUUCAUCGUUUAACAUGCAUGAAGCGGAAGGAAAAUUCUGUUGAAGAAGGGCAGGUAGAGGUUUCUUGUGAAGAAUGUCAAAAAGUGUUUUCAUCAAGACGCAGUCUAAAAUAUCACAUCUCAACUAUUCAUGAGCAUAGACUGUUUGAGUGCUCCAAAUGCGGAGAAGUUUUCCGUUGGUCCAAAAGUUUGUCAAAACAUCGGCAAAAAUGUCAAUAAAUUUGAGAAUUAUGCAAAUAUUUUAAAAUAGUUAAUUGUCUGCCAGGUAGAAAGCAAUGUUCUAGAACAGUUACGAAAAUAUCUACUCAUACAAUUAGAUUUUUUUUUUUUUAUGAGGAAUAACUGAAUAAUCCUGGACUACAGCCUGCAUAAGCUUUCAGAUUUUGAAGGGCCCCGAUCGGGGGGACGGGUGAAAGUAAGGGCUACGGGCUAUCCCGCUCCUAAGUGACCGAACGCCCAUAGGGCGUAGCCGUUACGCGCUGACAGUGACCCGUAUGUCGGACUUUUCACUCCGCCCUCUGACCUCGCGCCCGCAUUUGCUGACCGGCUGUCGGACUCCACACUCGCCGCCCGAUGGGCUUCUACCUGCAACAACCGCUUUGGUCAUCGCACUCUCGGUGAGUUUGUGAAUUAAGUGUAAAGUGUACCCUAAAAUUCUGUAAAAUAUUAUAACAUGAAUUAUUCAUACCAGUUGAAACUGUCUGUACAGUAUCAGGAUUUCUGGUAUUAGUUUAAUUUAAUUUGUAUAGUUCAGCCCGAAUCGUCGAUUUGUUGCGUGCUACUUCCGCUUUGUGCCAUGUGCUCGCUGUAGUAAGAUGCCGCAUGGCUAACACAAGGUAUUUUAUGUAUAAAUUCUCGAAGCAAAAUAUUAGUGUUUCAAACAAUCCUUAUAAUUAAUUGACCCUAUAAUAGUUCUUAGCAAUUUACCUUCUAUUGAAAUUUAUACACUCGAUCGUGUAUUGAAAGAUUAUUGUAAUCGUUUUUUUGUUUGUUUGUUUGUGGUUUUUUUUUAAUGCAGACUUUGGUUAUUUCACUUUCUAGGAAAUGCUGAAGAUCGGGGAUCGUGCUUAGUCAAAGCAUUGUAAUAAUGCGAUGGCCGACUACAAAACAGUCAACAGAUGACUCCACAGCGUGGCUGAAGAUGAGCCAAGCUGAAUGUAUAGUGAUAUUCAAGAUCCUGGAAGCGUUGUAAGAAAAUCAACUGACAUGGUAUAUGACGAGACUGGUUAUUCCCAAUCUGGAAUGAGUGGAAUUCUAAAAGAAGAACUAAAAUAUUUCAUCAUUCUGCAUAUCAAACAGGAUUAUUGCUGUACCACAGCAGCCUGGGGAUAUUAUAUCUGCCACUGCUUACAAAUAGUUUGGAAGUAACAGGCAAGAAUGGAGGAACAAGUCCAAGGACAAAGCCAUCUGAUGGUCAGUGAAAUAAGAAAUCAAAGAAAAUAACCAUGCAUGUGUUUAAUUUAUCAAUGUAAGCAUGGCUUUAUCAUUCAUGUUGUGUUUAUGAAGAAAGUUAACCCGGCCUAUUACUCUGUUCUGGGUAAUCUCUUCAUGUUGUUCACCUGUUUACAAGUGCAACUGCUUUGAUGUGAUAUGGUUCUAGUAUUUCUACCUCUUAUUAGUUUUCCUUUCUAAUCCACAAACAGUAAUCAAAACUAGAAGCAAGCCUACAUGAAUCUAUUUACAUAAGUGGUGUUGGCCAUCAACUUCCUGUUGCCUCCUAGCUGCUUUAAAGCUCAUAAAUAGUAAGAAACGGAAAUAUGUGUGCUUCAACUGAAUGGCACAUCGGUAAGAAGUGAAUAAAUUGAAAUGCCUUGUUUUUGCUUAU